AGUGAACGCUGGCGGUAGGCCUAACACAUGCAAGUCGAACGGCAGCACAGGAGAGCUUGCUCUCUGGGUGGCGAGUGGCGGACGGGUGAGGAAUACAUCGGAAUCUACUCUGUCGUGGGGGAUAACGUAGGGAAACUUACGCUAAUACCGCAUACGACCUACGGGUGAAAGCAGGGGAUCUUCGGACCUUGUGCGAUUGAAUGAGCCGAUGUCGGAUUAGCUAGUUGGCGGGGUAAAGGCCCACCAAGGCGACGAUCCGUAGCUGGUCUGAGAGGAUGAUCAGCCGCACUGGAAAUGAGACACGGUCCAGACUCCUACGGGAGGCAGCAGUGGGGAAUAUUGGACAAUGGGCGCAAGCCUGAUCCAGCCAUACCGCGUGGGUGAAGAAGGCCUUCGGGUUGUAAAGCCCUUUUGUUGGGAAAGAAAUCCAGCUGGCUAAUACCCGGUUGGGAUGACGGUACCCAAAGAAUAAGCACCGGCUAACUUCGUGCCAGCCGCCGCGGUAA
This 506-nucleotide ribosomal RNA is filed under the name uncultured bacterium. Its description in RNAcentral is "partial 16S ribosomal RNA". It matches the Rfam family "Bacterial small subunit ribosomal RNA", at positions 29 to 523 of the family's 1533-position model. The record is from RNAcentral.